Molecule: long non-coding RNA, 1015 nt
Organism: Corythoichthys intestinalis (scribbled pipefish)
Lineage: Eukaryota; Metazoa; Chordata; Actinopteri; Syngnathiformes; Syngnathidae
Exons: 10
Source: RefSeq, a predicted model, not a curated record
CCUGCGCCGCUCUUCUCAGUACCCAUCCCGCAGACAGGAAAUGACGCAAUACCGCUGCUCUCAGUCCCCUCAGACCGGAAAUGUCGUCAACCCUUGCGACGAAAACAAGUUACGUUAUUUCACCUCUCGCGAAGAAAACACGUUUGAAUGUUGUCACAUGAUCCAAAUAGGACAAGCUCCUUGAUCACCACCCCAUUGGGAAGAAACUAAAUCACGACCCCCAAAUGGUAGUCUUCCCAUGCAGAUACAGGGAUGUCACACAGAUCCAAAUGGAAACAUCGAACACUGUAAAACCCACUGUGCAGACAGGACCAAUGGUGACAAUAUAAGACCAUGCCGAGCUUCAUGGACGGUUCAAACUCAUCCUGCCCAGGAACGGCUGAAAACGUUUACAGUCAAUCAACAGGGGAACAUGGAAAGAGAGGAUUGGAAGUGAAAUAGAGCCAUAGGGGAAGGACUGUGGCAUCUUCAUGUUGAUGACUGAUAUGCCAACUCUGAGGAAGUGGUGGUGUAUAUUGCUAGCGGACAAUUUCAAACUUGGGUGCAUGCCACAGGAAAGAGUUUGCCCUAUGGACAGAUGAGGCAAAAGCAUUACUGCAGGGUUAAGUGCCACCAGUCUAUCAGUUACAGAGGUGAAAUUUGAAUAUAAUUGCUGAGGAAGAGGUGCAACCACAGCUCCUUCAAGUUAGUGGUGGCCCACUCCAAAAAGAUAUGGCGGGAAAAAAUGUUUUGCUAAAAGGAUUGUGCAAGACAGCACAAAAGCCUCGGACAGGGCUGGGGGUGUGGAAUCAAUGCAGUAGGAGUUCCCAAGUAUCCUGCAGAUGGAAGAGGAUGAGCACGAACUACAAUGUCUUGGAGCCAUUCAAGUUCUGUUUCAACCAUCUGGAAGAUGGAUUUACCUUUUUUGAGGAGAUUGUUGACUAAAGAAAAUAUCUGGUGUUCUCUCAAUAAUAAUAAAAAAUAAUAAAACUAAAAAAAUAAAGUUUACCACAUUAGAACUGGUUGUAUUGAGUUC